CCGGACGGAAGGAAGUCUACCUGUCUUCUUCGUGUCUACCUGGCUAAGACACCUCCUGGUUUUUUUUCCACGGACUCUCACCUGGUUCCCAUCCUGGCUAUGCUUUUGACGUGAGGCUUUCGCCUGUUUACGUUUGUUAAAAAAAAUCGUGACGGGACGGCAGAAACGUGGUUUGUGCACUUUUCUUAGUGAAAUUAGUGCAUUAAAUUAAUUUCAAUAGUGGAAAAAUUUCAUUUAAUUAAUAGUAAUGUCUAUCUCCCGCCUGCAAAAAUGCAGCUGCAUCAGCCUCCGGGUGAAGGAAGGAAGCGCAAUCAUCCGCUCUGGUAGAAUUGUUUACGUUUUUCAACACGAGCUGGAGCGAAGCGAUACAAUUUCUUGGAUUAUUCCUCGCCCAGAUUGUUGGAGUUUUAGGUGACGGAUACCAAACAAUCGGAAAUGCCAACCGAUCCAGCUUGUCAGUAGCGUAUGGCACGGAGGAAAGCAACGAUAUCGCCCCCGGAAGAUGUUGGCGGGACAAAUUAGCUAGCAGCGAGAAAAAUAAGUCAUUGCAGAUUAUUGUUCCGGAGCCCGAACUGCCUAGAUGCAACCCACCUCUGCGACGACCUUCCGGACAUAUUUUUUUAAUUGGUGUGUGCUAAGAGGUACAGUUGAUCUCAAAUCGAUCACUAUUUGGGAAAGCGACGGAAAUAAUAGACGGAGUCAAACGGACGGAAGCUUAAACAGCUAAUUAGCAGGAUCCACGGAUCGGAAUUGAAUAAUAUUAACGCCAGGGCAGUCUUCACGGUUGCCACGUAAGUAUUAUGAACUGUUUAUUAGUUGUAAAAUUUCAUCUGCUUUUCUUUGGCGUUACGUCCCAUCUGGGACAAAGCCUGUUCUUUGAGCGCAUCAAAAGUUUGCAACUGGGAGCUUUCUCUUGAAAUGGGCAUUUUGCUAUGUAUUUAAAGCUCUAAGCCCAAGAAAGUCGACAAGUUGUGAAACCCUUUAUUAAAAAGUAUUCCGAUCGGUCCAGGAAAUCGAUCAUUCUUCUUCUUCUUCUUGGUAUAAUGUCCUAACUGGGACAAAGCCUUCUUUUCAUCUUAGUGUUUAAUGAGCAAUUCAACCGUUAUUUGAAAAAAUCCUCCAAGAAAAUUUCCUUUUCGAAAAACUCGUAACUAUGUAUGUAGAUCGGUUAUCAAACUCGUCACCUGUUACUGGGAUUCCUCGACGUGGUUGAUAUCAUCCGCGAUGCCCAGGAGCAUAUGCGACCGCGUGCCAAUGGUUCCGCUCGUUUGCAUUCCAGCUCUCCUUAUCGCUCCUUCCAGUACUAUGUUGAACAGUAAGUUCGAAAGAUCGUCGCCCUGCUUUAGUUCGUCUAGGGCAGUAGUGGUCAAGUGGAAGCAUACCGCGGGCCAAAUUGAGAUUGUUCGACUAAGCCGCGAGUUGCAGAAUACAAAUCAUCAUCAACCUAAAUUAACUAUUAUAUUAUAAAUGUUCUAAUCUUUUCACAAUUUGAGAAUUGCAAAAGUACUUUUUGCACUUCAAUAGUUAAACCUCAAACAUAAAAAUAGACGAACCAGCCAAGGGCUGAAAGUCUCUUUAAUAAAUACAAAUCAAUCAAACAUUUUAAUUUGACCAUUAAAAAUCUUGUUGUUCAUCGCCAAUUAAUUAUAUAUUUGUAAAUUUUCAUUAAGCUUAAUUUUAUUAAAUUGAAGUAGCGAGCCAUUUGCCAUUUCCCAGAUGACUUGGAAUUUCU
This is a long non-coding RNA of Aedes albopictus (Asian tiger mosquito), 1732 nucleotides long. RefSeq lists it as uncharacterized. NCBI's taxonomy places the organism in Eukaryota, Metazoa, Arthropoda, Insecta, Diptera, Culicidae. The transcript is spliced from 3 exons. The record is from RefSeq and is a predicted model, not a curated record.